This 476-nucleotide ribosomal RNA is filed under the name uncultured bacterium. Its description in RNAcentral is "partial 16S ribosomal RNA". It matches the Rfam family "Bacterial small subunit ribosomal RNA", at positions 28 to 523 of the family's 1533-position model. The record is from RNAcentral.
GAUGAACGCUGGCGGCGUGCUUAACACAUGUAAGUCGAGCGAGUGAGUUCUUCGGAACGAUCUAGCGGCGGACGGGUGAGUAACACGUGGGCAACCUGCCUCAUAGAGGGGAAUAGCCUCCCGAAAGGGAGAUUAAUACCGCAUAACAUCGUUGAAGGGCAUCCUUCGAUGAUCAAAGGAGCAAUCCGCUAUGAGAUGGGCCCGCGGCGCAUUAGCUAGUUGGUGAGGUAACGACUCACCAAGGCGACGAUGCGUAGCCGACCUGAGAGGGUGAUCGGCCACAUUGGGACUGAGACACGGCCCAGACUCCUACGGGAGGCAGCAGUGGGGAAUAUUGCACAAUGGGGGAAACCCUGAUGCAGCAACGCCGCGUGAGUGAUGACGACCUUCGGGUUGUAAAGCUCUGUCUUUGGGGACGAUAAUGACGGUACCCAAGGAGGAAGUCACGGCUAACUACGUGCCAGCAGCCGCCGUAA